RNAcentral lists this non-coding RNA (22 nucleotides) under Arabidopsis thaliana (thale cress). The record is from RNAcentral. Lineage: Eukaryota; Viridiplantae; Streptophyta; Magnoliopsida; Brassicales; Brassicaceae.
UAGCAAAGUUUCAUAAGACUAA